AAAAGUUUCCUUUGACUUUUGCAUGUUUAAUCAAGUAUUUCUUUCACCUUUUUUGCGUAAAUCUACUUGUUUUUGUUUAUGAUUUUUUUUCAAAUUUUGAAUUAUGUGCCAACCUUCAUUUGUCCUUUUCAUUCAGGAAUCUGUGAAGACCAAGCAUCCUCAGGGGAUCUCUGUUUAACCUCCACCCAGAUCAGGUCUUGUUGCAUUGCUUCGGGGGCCUUGAUUUGUAACAGUCUGUCAAUGCCCUUGUGUUGAGGUGACAUACUUUGACGGUAUCUACAACUUUGAACGUACUGUGAAACAGAUUUUGCCAAUUGUGUAACUAACAUUUAAGUGAAGUUUUCUUUACCGCCAACACAACCAUCUCAAACCAAAAC
Molecule: long non-coding RNA, 377 nt
Filed under: Citrus maxima (pomelo)
Lineage: Eukaryota; Viridiplantae; Streptophyta; Magnoliopsida; Sapindales; Rutaceae
Description: long non-coding RNA (CMAX_LNC001502)
Source: RNAcentral